This 440-nucleotide ribosomal RNA is filed under the name Messapus natalis. RNAcentral's name for it is "partial 16S ribosomal RNA". Lineage: Eukaryota; Metazoa; Arthropoda; Arachnida; Araneae; Corinnidae. The record is from RNAcentral.
UUCUAUUAGACAUAAUUAAUAGUAUAAUCUGCUCAAUGAAAUUAAAUAGCCGCAAAAUCUGUGCUAAGGUAGCAUAAUCAUUUGUCCUCUAAAUGAGGACUAGUACAAAAGAUUGAACAUUUUAAUUAUUAUUUUUAAUAUUUUUAAUCAAAAUUAUUUUAAAUGUAAAAAAACAUUUAUAAAAAAGAAAGACGACAAGACCCUAUUGAACUUAACUGUAGUUUAACUGGGGCAGUUAAAUAAUUAAUAUUUUUAUUUUGGUAUUAAAAUAAAAGAUCCAAUAUAAUUGAUUAUGUGAUCAAGUUACCAUAGGGAUAACAGCGUAAUAUAAAUCCAAAGAUCUUAUAUAAAUUUAAAUUUGCGACCUCGAUGUUGAAUAAUAUCCUAAUUAACGCAAAAGUUAAUUUAAAGGAAGUCUGUUCGACUUUUAAAUAAUUACA